AGAGUGCUUCCCUGUGGUGCCUUCUCACUGAAGAUGACCCUGAAGCAUGGAGAAAAGUAAGACUCCAGUAACUCCAAGCUGGGGCUUCUGCUUCUACAGCCACAGGGUGGGAAUGCUCUGCGCUUGGCUGGGGGAAUUUCACAGAAUGGGAGGAAACUGAGGCAUGGGAUGCCUGGGAGAUUUUGUUGAGCUUUGGAUGAUCUAAAUCGCUCUUUGAACAUGGGAGUUAAAGUGCCUGUAGCUGCUUUUUUUUUUUUUUUUUUUUUUUCAUUUAGAAUCAAGGGAACAAUCCGAAAACAGGUUUGCUGCCUAGAUUGAUAGCUAGGCAAAGGAGGCUCAGUAGUCCACAGCUGAAAUGCCAGGAGUUGAACAGGAGACAAAGUAGGGUCACUGGGCCAGAUCCCUGGGAGACAGAGAGACAAUGAGUUUCCAGUCCAUCCUUCAGCCUCAUUCCGAACACAAGCUUUGCAUACUCCCAGAAGUACUGUCCAAUGAAAU
Molecule: long non-coding RNA, 498 nt
Filed under: Mus pahari (shrew mouse)
Lineage: Eukaryota; Metazoa; Chordata; Mammalia; Rodentia; Muridae
Description: predicted gene 13994 (MGP_PahariEiJ_G0005540.1)
Source: RNAcentral